Molecule: ribosomal RNA, 503 nt
Filed under: fungal endophyte sp. CEY 15
Lineage: Eukaryota; Fungi
Description: eukaryotic LSU rRNA
Rfam family: 5.8S ribosomal RNA (bases 163-316)
Source: RNAcentral
UUUGAGGNCUUACAGAAUGAAAAGUGCUUAACUGCAUUUUUUCUUACACAUGUGUUUUUCUCUUUUUGAAAACUUUGCUUUGGUAGGCCUUCUAUAUGGGGCCUGCCAGAGAUUAAACUCAACCAAAUUUUAUUUAAUGUCAACCGAUUAUUUAAUAGUCAAAACUUUCAACAACGGAUCUCUUGGUUCUCGCAUCGAUGAAGAACGCAGCGAAAUGCGAUAAGUAAUAUGAAUUGCAGAUAUUCGUGAAUCAUCGAAUCUUUGAACGCACAUUGCGCCCUUUGGUAUUCCAAAGGGCAUGCCUGUUUGAGCGUCAUUUCUCCCUCAAACCCUCGGGUUUGGUGUUGAGCGAUACGCUGGGUUUGCUUGAAAGAAAGGCGGAGUAUAAACUAAUGGAUAGGUUUUUUCCACUCAUUGGUACAAACUCCAAAACUUCUUCCAAAUUCGACCUCAAAUCAGGUAGGACUACCCGCUGAACUUAAGCAUAUCAAUAAGCGGAGGAA